RNAcentral lists this ribosomal RNA (475 nucleotides) under uncultured bacterium. Its description in RNAcentral is "bacterial SSU rRNA". It matches the Rfam family "Bacterial small subunit ribosomal RNA", at positions 335 to 799 of the family's 1533-position model. The record is from RNAcentral.
ACUCCUACGGGAGGCAGCAGUGGGGAAUAUUGCACAAUGGGCGCAAGCCUGAUGCAGCCAUGCCGCGUGUAUGAAGAAGGCCUUCGGGUUGUAAAGUACUUUCAGCAGUGAGGAAGGCGGGUACGUUAAUAGCGUGCUUGUUUGACGUUAGCUGCAGAAGAAGCACCGGCUAACUCCGUGCCAGCAGCCGCGGUAAUACGGAGGGUGCGAGCGUUAAUCGGAAUUACUGGGCGUAAAGCGCAUGCAGGUGGUUUGUUAAGUCAGAUGUGAAAGCCCGGGGCUCAACCUCGGAAUUGCAUUUGAAACUGGCAGACUAGAGUACUGUAGAGGGGGGUAGAAUUUCAGGUGUAGCGGUGAAAUGCGUAGAGAUCUGAAGGAAUACCGGUGGCGAAGGCGGCCCCCCUGGACAGAUACUGACACUCAGAUGCGAAAGCGUGGGGAGCAAACAGGAUUAGAUACCCCUGGUAGGAUAGCG